RNAcentral lists this non-coding RNA (21 nucleotides) under Caenorhabditis elegans. The record is from RNAcentral. Lineage: Eukaryota; Metazoa; Nematoda; Chromadorea; Rhabditida; Rhabditidae.
UUAAACUUGAUAAAACUUGCA